Molecule: long non-coding RNA, 360 nt
Organism: Piliocolobus tephrosceles (Ugandan red Colobus)
Lineage: Eukaryota; Metazoa; Chordata; Mammalia; Primates; Cercopithecidae
Exons: 3
Source: RefSeq, a predicted model, not a curated record
ACUCCUGGGCUCAAGCAAUCCUCCCGCCUUGCCUCCCAAAGUGCUGUAAUUACAGGCAUGAACCCCAUGCCCAGCCUAUUUUUUAAUGCUUAAAAAAAUAUAUAUAUAAUGACCAGCAUGGUUUUCUUCAUGUUGCUGACAGAGGAGAGCAAAUCAGACUUCAAGGAGAAGCACUGACAGUUUGUGCUGAAGGAGACAGAGAGAGAACAAAAUGAAGGAAGGCUGUUGAACUUCUCAGACCCACAGGACCAGACCACAACACUAUUCAGCUUCGAAAGGGGGAAGAGAUGACUCCAAAGGGUCUCACUCUGUCACCCAGGCUGGAGUACUACAGUGGUGUGUUCACAGCUCACUGCAGAU